GCCUUCGUGGUGUAGUGAUCAGCACGCUCGGCGCGUAUUCGAGAGGUCCGUGGUUCGAGUCCCGGCGAAGGCG
Molecule: non-coding RNA, 73 nt
Organism: Stegodyphus mimosarum
Lineage: Eukaryota; Metazoa; Arthropoda; Arachnida; Araneae; Eresidae
Source: Rfam